GGGGAACUAGCAUAAACUAAUGCAUUUUACUUACACUAAAAAAAAUAAACACAAGGUUUGUUCUCUU
RNAcentral lists this transfer RNA (67 nucleotides) under Polydora hoplura. Its description in RNAcentral is "tRNA-Val". Lineage: Eukaryota; Metazoa; Annelida; Polychaeta; Spionida; Spionidae. The record is from RNAcentral.